GGCAGGGCCUCUUUCCGGCUACCGAGUAGCGGUUGUGUUGCUGAACCGAGGGCCAUGGCGUAAUGCAAUCACCGCUCAAUGGGACGACAUCGGAAUCCCACCAAACAGUAAUGUUCAAGCAAGAGAUGUUUGGGAGCAUACUACUUUGAAGACUAUUUUUGUUGCAAAUUUGACAGCUACCGUGGAUUCUCAUGCCUGCAAACUUUACAUUUUGAAGCCAAUUUCUUAAGGUUGUGAACAUUAGUUCCGCAUUUGGACAUGGUGU
This 265-nucleotide unclassified non-coding RNA is filed under the name Hevea brasiliensis (rubber tree). The record is from RNAcentral. Lineage: Eukaryota; Viridiplantae; Streptophyta; Magnoliopsida; Malpighiales; Euphorbiaceae.